UACAUGGGGUGCAAACGUUGCUCGGAAUUAUUGGGCGUAAAGCGCACGUAGGUGGUUUGUUAUGUCGGAUGUGAAAGCCCUCGGCUCAACUGAGGAAGUGCAUCCGAAACUGGCAAGCUAGAGUAUGUAAGAGGGUCGCGGAAUUCCCGGUGUAGAGGUGAAAUUCGUAGAUAUCGGGAGGAACACCGGUGGCGAAGGCGGCGACCUGGGACAAUACUGACGCUGAGGAGCGAAAGCGUGGGGAGCGAACAGG
This 253-nucleotide ribosomal RNA is filed under the name uncultured bacterium. RNAcentral describes it as "partial 16S ribosomal RNA". It matches the Rfam family "Bacterial small subunit ribosomal RNA", at positions 524 to 776 of the family's 1533-position model. The record is from RNAcentral.